Leptopilina heterotoma is the source of this 474-nucleotide long non-coding RNA. RefSeq lists it as uncharacterized. The record is from RefSeq and is a predicted model, not a curated record. Lineage: Eukaryota; Metazoa; Arthropoda; Insecta; Hymenoptera; Figitidae. The transcript has 3 exons.
AGAAACUAAAAGACAUUUAGAUUUAUAUUCUAUUGUGGAAUCUGCAAAUUGGAUUUGGCGUCCAUUUGGCAUUCUGGCAGUUGUGCCUAAUGGUUCCAAUAGAAAAUACACUUUAAGUAAAAUACUUAUUAUAUAUAACAUUUUAAUAGUGAUUUUAAUUUUGAGUUCGCACAUUGGACAAUCGUACAACAUUAGGAAGGAAAGAAUUUUUCAACAACUUAGUGUGGAUGUACAAUUACUGAUUGCUAUAAGGUAUCAAUUGAAUGUGAUCAAUGUAUUUGAUGUUAUUUUCUGGAAAAUUCUAUUUAACAAUCAAUUUAUAGAAGCAGUUGAUUCCCUAGUUGCUCAAGACAAUAAUUUACAGAAAGUGGGAUGUUUUUUUAAAUACACAAAACAUUUGAAGAAAUAUAAAAUUUUCGUGAUAUUAUAUUUUUGUGCUCUUUUUUCAAUAAGUGCUCAGAUACUUUCUUUUGG